This 422-nucleotide unclassified non-coding RNA is filed under the name Hevea brasiliensis (rubber tree). Lineage: Eukaryota; Viridiplantae; Streptophyta; Magnoliopsida; Malpighiales; Euphorbiaceae. The record is from RNAcentral.
UGCAGCUAUAACCUUAAAAGAAAAAUGUUGAUAGCAACGAACAUCAAGAAACAAGAUAGAAAAGACAAUAUGCGUAUGCAGCUGGGAGUAAAAAUGGAAAUGGAAAUGGAAAUAUGAUUUGUCCUCUGCAGUUACAAGAUUUACUAUCUUGUCAUGUUCUUACAAUUAAAAUUAAUUUGCCCUCCGUUUUUGUUCAUUAUACAGUAGCAAGUUAAAUUCAAAAUUCUCUGAAUAUGCUUGCAACAAAUAAAAUUUGAUAGCCAAUAGUUGAUAAGAAUACAAUAAGUGUGGCACAAGUGGGCAUUAAAUCAUUCCAAGCGAUUCUUACGAUUGUUUAUCUUAGCCAGAUUAGUUUCAAAAGAAAAAAAAAAUAUAUACUAAAAUAGUUGAAAAUUCCAAAUUGCAGUAAAAAUGUAAAAUAA